GCAUACAACAAAAUGUCAAAAUCAUUACUUUUCUUCUCUUUCUCACAACUCCCUUAGUUCUGAUCAGUCGCUAGCGGCAGCGACGCCGGAGGUCGUAUCAGUCAACCAGACAACCACCAGUGGGAUUGUUGUGUCACCGUCGCUGACCUCUGGUUGAUGCAGACAUCCCCACUACAUGUCACCUAACCGCCACCUAUCUUAGAUCUUGUCGAGCGACUUGCCAUGUCCUCAGUCACUGACCGCGACCAAGGGUGUCUGCUUCCAGCCGGCGGUAAAAAAAUGGGAGGCAGUGGGUGUCGCAGUUGUGGAAGUGGCUCUAGCGGCAAUUAGUGUUGUGAUGAUUAUGAUAUAGAUGUAAUGCCAUGAUGGCACAUUCCAGUGGUGGGUAUGAUUUCUCAUUUCUAAAGGAUAUGUGGUGGACGUGAAAAAGUUUAUUAGCUAGAUUGAAUUAAAAACUAAAACAUACACAUCCACACGAACAUAGACAUUUGGGCCAACUCUCAAAUUUGGGUUUGUGUUUGUUAACAGUUUUUUCCGAUUUUUUUUUUCUAAAUUUGCUAUGAUUUUAUUCAUGCAUCAUAUCAAAACAAUCAUGAUUCAUUAACAAUUUUUUAAAUCAUAGCUACUAUGAUAUAUCAUUAAUGAGAAACAUUAUGGAAAUUAACAAAAUCUCUUUUACACCAUCGUUUCUUUUAGAACAACGAUACACUUUCUCAAUUCUCAAGUAUGUAAUGAUUUAUUUAGCAUCUCCGAAACCAACAUAAUGUAAAUUAAUUCGCGUGUCAACCUAAUGAAAGAUACCGAACAUAAUGUUGACUAUAUAUAAAAGUUUUGACCCGCAAUGAUGUUAAUAAUGCAUACCCAACUAGAAUAAAA
This 876-nucleotide long non-coding RNA is filed under the name Helianthus annuus (common sunflower). RNAcentral describes it as "sRNA HanXRQr2_Chr09g0397261". The record is from RNAcentral. Lineage: Eukaryota; Viridiplantae; Streptophyta; Magnoliopsida; Asterales; Asteraceae.